CGAGCGCACCUUCGGGUGAGCGGCGGACGGGUUAGUAACGCGUGGGAACAUACCCUUUGGUACGGAAUAGCCUCUGGAAACGGAGAGUAAUACCGUAUGAGCCCUUCGGGGGAAAGAUUUAUCGCCAAAGGAUUGGCCCGCGUUAGAUUAGGUAGUUGGUGGGGUAAUGGCCUACCAAGCCUACGAUCUAUAGCUGGUUUUAGAGGAUGAUCAGCAACACUGGGACUGAGACACGGCCCAGACUCCUACGGGAGGCAGCAGUGGGGAAUCUUGGACAAUGGGGGCAACCCUGAUCCAGCCAUGCCGCGUGAGUGAUGAAGGCCUUAGGGUCGUAAAGCUCUUUCGCCUGUGAAGAUAAUGACGG
Molecule: ribosomal RNA, 364 nt
Filed under: Ruegeria sp. AU377_bs_Ted2_NSWSE
Lineage: Bacteria; Pseudomonadati; Pseudomonadota; Alphaproteobacteria; Rhodobacterales; Roseobacteraceae
Description: bacterial SSU rRNA
Rfam family: Bacterial small subunit ribosomal RNA
Source: RNAcentral